This is a long non-coding RNA of Drosophila albomicans, 548 nucleotides long. RefSeq lists it as uncharacterized. Lineage: Eukaryota; Metazoa; Arthropoda; Insecta; Diptera; Drosophilidae. The transcript has 3 exons. The record is from RefSeq and is a predicted model, not a curated record.
UACCCCCGCAAAAAGAAAAGUUGUGGACUAAGCAACUGUAGGUCAUACAAUGGUCGACCAUAGAAAAUCCAGUUGUCGUUUCAACAUCUCAACGUUAGUUUCACCAUGCCGAGAAUUUAAUCUAUAAACUGACAAACAAAGCACGCCAGACAACAACAAUUAUGUGCCGGGGCUGACAGGCACCGGAGCUCUGAAUUCUGUCCUGGAAGCGGAAAUGUGUAGCAUUUCUUAUGAACUCGCUUAGGGAGCAGACAUAAUGCAUAAGUUAUUAAGGAAGCGGCGACAAUGAAGUUUGCAACAAGCUUAAGAAACAUUUUUAACCAAAAAAAUGUAUGCAAAAAUACUUUGACGCUCUGCCAGGAGCAACCUGUCAGGCUUUGAACGCCAAUACCUAACUCUUGCACUAAGAUUUGAAAACGGAUUUGCACAAGGCUCGUGGCUGGAUUUAAAGGCCCGUUGGUGGUCGGGUUUCACUUAUUUUGUAUUAUUUUAAUCAAAAUUAAGAUGGCAAUUUAAGCAAAUUGAGCAUGUGAUAUAAAUAAAAUACU